CAGUAUAUUCCUACAUCGUGGGUCUGGGGAGGGUAGAAUGUACGCAGUCCAUACCACUACCUCUAAAGAAGUAGAGAGACUGUUUCUGAUAGACUCCCGGCUCAAGACAAAGGACAAUAUAAAAAAAACAUCAAAAGUAUGGGACAAGAUAUAAUUAAGAACUAUCUAACCUAAAUCAUAGGCUUCACGUAGCACCACGAAUAAAAACUACAGACACAAAAGAACGCUUCCUUAUUGUUACGGACGCACUCCCACCGCCUAACUCUCUACCCUAAUCCACGUCCUCCACACCUUCCUAUCAAGGGUCAUGUCCUCUGUAAGUUAUAAUUGUUCCAUAUCAUGCCUAAUUACCUCCCUCCAAUAUUUCUUCGGUCUAUCUCUACCCCG
This 387-nucleotide long non-coding RNA is filed under the name Capsicum annuum. RNAcentral's name for it is "long non-coding RNA (CANN_LNC018569)". Lineage: Eukaryota; Viridiplantae; Streptophyta; Magnoliopsida; Solanales; Solanaceae. The record is from RNAcentral.